CUGCCAGGCUUCCUGGGAGAAGGGUGGGACAAGGGAAGCUGCCACUUUGUCUUUUGGUCUCAAGACAGCCCCAGCUUCAACAGGGAACUUCACAUCUGCAAGGGGAGGAGCUCUGUCACGAUCACCAGCCCAUCACAUCAUCAACGGUCACUGGCAACAUGAGCGCCAACAUCCCCAUCAGCACCAAAGACAGGGGCACUGCUGUCAACGAUGCAGUCUUCCAAUCGCCAUGGCUGAGGAACACCACCACCUUCAUCAAUCACCGAUACUGACGGCCCCGGCUUUCUCCCAAACUCGGCCACUGCCACCAUCAUCAGCCAAACUGCAGCCAUUCCGGUCACUGCCAUCAUCGGCAGUCACCAACCCUGACCCCCGUCAUUAUCACAAACACGGCCACUGCCACCAUCACCCACCCAACCACCAUCACCUGUCACCAUCAUCACUGCCACUGUCAUCAUCACAUUGGUCAUGAUGAACGCCCUCAUCGUCUCCAAAACCACACCAACAUCACCAGCUGUAUCCCUGGGCGUGUUAUUCGACUUCUCAAUUUCCUACAGAACGGUGACAACAGCACCUAAUUCACAAGACUGUUGGGAGAAUUUGGGGACUUGACAGGUGGAAAAUGCUUGGAGGACAGCGUCCGGCACGUAACAAGACCAAUUUGUUACCAUUGCUAUCUCUACUCUCACCCCACCAUGAUCAACACCAUCCCCAUCGCCGGGUCAAAACCUUCCUGUCGCCAUCAUCCCCAUUGUGGCCACCAUCAGCACCAUCACCAGACAGGCACACUGUAAUUGCAAGGGUCCCAUCUCCCAGCCUCCAGGCACAUGCACUGGUGGCCCUAUUCUAGACAGCGACAGGCACUCCUGUGACCAAUCAAGAAGCUCCAGAACCCCAAGGAGAUUCUCUCCUGGGGCCCCUGGGGGGACAUGGAUGUUCACUGCAGCAGCAUUUACGGAGGUGGCCUGGAUGGCUGUGUGGUGGCCGCACCACAGGGAGUCCUGUGCAGAAGUAAUGGAGCAGACAGAAUGGACAGAUCUUUAAAAGCAUAGGGCUAAGUGGAAAAAAGAGAAGGAAGAUCCAGAAUGAGAUCUACAAGACAGAGCCAUCUACAUAAAUUAAAAGUACUUGUACAGAGUG
Molecule: long non-coding RNA, 1140 nt
Organism: Neofelis nebulosa (Clouded leopard)
Lineage: Eukaryota; Metazoa; Chordata; Mammalia; Carnivora; Felidae
Exons: 2
Source: RefSeq, a predicted model, not a curated record